AAGGAAGCGCAUUUUGUUAUCCCGUUAACCGCGGAUUCGUUAUUGAACCUAGGAUCAUUGUCAUUAGCAUCAAGUAUUUAAUUACUACGGCUACUUAUCAAAUUCUGUAAUAAUCAUAUUUGUACUAGUAAAUAUCUCCUCUAUUACAUAACAACAAUGACUAAUCCAAAUGAAGAUUCGUUACACGCACCUAACCCUAAUCAUAAUGUGAACCCGACAUAUAUAUGCCAGAAAUAAUAUAUGUCGGAGAUGCAAGGACACCGGACCUUCCCCUGGAACUCCGGGAAAAUCCGUAAAAUCGUAGUUAAAGUUUACAGUUGUAAUUAAACAAUUUGCCGUCAUUCUGCCCAAUUGUACUUGUUUGCGAUUUGUGAUAAUAAACUUGGGCUCAAGACGACCAUCAUUCGCCGAACGUAGCCGCGGUCAACGAGACGGGCGCUCCGUCUAGCAAAGCUGCGGAGGGGUGUUAUGACCCUCAUUAAAGGAACUACCCAUAGAGGUAUCGGACAGUAAAACAUGCUAACGGUUUCUUAGGACAAUGAAUACCUGAUAUUGAGGCACGUACACAGCACAAGUCUGGUUAGCCUGAGGGCCCGCUAUAAAACCUGGAUUUUUCGGCAAUUAAGAUGUGUGCAAACGGGCAGGCAGCUUUUGUCUCAAAUCGACCAAUCGACAGCGACGUCGAUUCGAGGAUCUUGUACUUAGACACCCCACCAUAGUUGGCCUCGGUAGCGUCAUUGGGACGAAAAUUCAUUCUUUCUCGAGAUUUCAUCGGCGAAGGGAGUAGUACACGUUUGAGUUAGAGCAAGUAUACCUACCCUCCCGUUGACCGUGGAUUCGCUAUCGAACCUAAGACCAUUAUCACUAGUGUCGCGAGUGUCUAAUGUUGAUUGUCGAAUCGAUAGUGUUCAUACUUGUUGUAUCAGGCCGUAUCUUCGUUAUAACACAACGCUGGCCAACUCUAAGAGAGGUCUAUCAAACGCCCGCAACCCUGUUCCUGACUCUUCUCCGACAUAUAUAUAUUAAACAUAGAUACAAACAUACAAAUAAAUUAAAAUAAACGUUCCAGCAAGUGCUUCAAGGAAACUGUGAUUUGACAAAGUUGAUCUAUCUUCGAAUAAAAGGAGUUAGCAUGAUUUAGCUCACGAUUAAAGCAAUAUGUUUUGACUGGUGUAGAAUAAAUUGUUGGUUCUAAGAUAUCUUAAUGGGACAUUAAGAGAAAAUUGCUGGUUGACAUUAGAAGAAGAAAUAAUACCGUCUACUAUUUUAUUUACAAAUAAGAUAUCAAACAUUAUUCUGUUAAUUUUGUAUAAAAUAUGAAAAAAGGAUUUAUAUGUUUGUGAUACCAAACAUACUUUUGCAUGAAUAUAACGAAAACUAAGACCGAACAUUCGUAUCUAUAAGAAAAUGUUGUUCAGAAUCAUGAUCUCACGAUAUAUUUCAAGGGCAUCGAAAUCGAUGAGCAAGUAGCUCUUCGACAGGUUCACCUGCUCUAAUAAUGGCAUUUCAUUAAAUUUUUAAGACGUCGUAUUAAGAAAACGAAAAUUUGUUAUGCCUAUGAAGCGGAGAUACACGUUCGCAUAACACCGAAUUUAUGUCUUUCAAAAAGCACUUUUUAAUUAUUGCUGAUCAGAGAAUAUUUUCAAUCGAAGAAAGGUUCAGGCAAAUUGUGCAUUGAGCAUGAUUCUGUACCAUUCAGAUUUUUAUAUAACAUAACAAUACCAAAAAAUAUGAAAGCAGAGGAACCGAUUAAACACUGUAUGAAUUUGGACAUUAUUUUAGAAAAUGAAAAUCAUCGAAAUGUAGAUAGAAGCGACAUGCUUAAUGAAAUAAAAAUAUUUUGUGACAUAUACAGUAAAAAUUUGUUGUAUAUAACACCAAUGCAAUGUUCGAAUAUCAUACAUAAAAUUAAGGAUUUAUUUUCCAAUUUUAUGUUACUUUAAGAAUAUUAUUAAUUAUUCCAAUCGCUUCUGCAGGGUGUACUUUCUCUAGAUUAAAAUUAAUUAAAAAUUAUAUACAUACUACUAUGUCUCAGGGAAGACUAUCUAAUUGAUUAUUUAAUUUGAAUAAGUUAUGUGAAAAUUGAAAUUACGAAGAUAUAAUUAUUGAUUUUGCACGAAACAAAGCGAGAAUAAUAAACUUUAUGAAAUAAUUGUACUUCACUAAGUUUCAAAAUAAUAAACAUUUCAGAUACGGGUAUUUUUGUUAAUAUGUACUCAAUCAUCGAGUCAUUAUUUUGUUAUUAUUAUUACUAAAAACUUUAUAAUUAGAAUAAGAAUAAAUUUUCGUCAAAGAAAGUUAUGAGCUACAGAGCUACAUGUCUUUUCUGUUUCUAAUUUGUAAUGCUAUACAUGUGUAUAAUAAUAUUAUUUUGUCAGAGCGAGACUUGUUCCGCACUCCGCAGUCUCUACUGGCGACUGUGAUUUUAAAAAUAAGAUUUUGUUUACAAAAACUGUUUGUUAUGGGACUAGAAACAUUCUCGAGGACGUAAGGUUCUAAACAAAUGUUCUUUGUUAUUGAAUGUCAGAGAUAGAGAUAACUGACACGAAAUAUCAAGGUCUAAUAUCGACAGUCAAUAAGGAAUAACGAAUAAAAUUAUAUUAGCUAUUAGAUUUUCAUAACUUAUUCAUUUUUCUUCCUUUAGGAAAGACAUUUAUUCUUCCGUUUUUAUUCAAAAUUAUUAUUCGCAAUUGAUUUUAGAAAAAAACUUUCCAUUAGUCUAUUUGCAAUAAAAAGAUCCUUCCCUUAUGAAUCUUAUGAAUCGAUUUGCAACUGACAAUUAAAUUGUAAUAAAAGAACAUAAUGAACGAAAAAAACCAAAUUCGUAAUCUAAAAUAUUGCAUAACUGUUACGUAUUUUGAAUGUAGGUACACACACAUGUAAUAUAAUUUGCAUAUGCACACAUUUAUAUAUUUUAUUUUACAUACAUUUACAUAUUUUAACAUACUAUAUACACACACAAAAUUUCGCACUAUAAUAAUCGUUAUUUAUAGUAAUCGAUAUUAAAAUAAUUAUUAAAUAUUUGUUUAAUUAAUCCUAAAAUUGAAGUAUAAUUAUGAAAAUGUUAACAAAAGAAUUACGUUUAGAUUUCAUAAACAUAUCGCAAAGUGACCGAUUUAACCAGCGACCGCACACAGAGGUCCCACUUGUAGUCCUGAAGUAUAACCGAUCAGCAAACAACGCUACCUCAUCGUCGACAUCAUAUCAUGCUAGCGCAUCAUCAUAGAGUUCAGUACUGUUUAAUCUGUUGAGAUAAAUGUCAUGUUGGUAUGAUCACUAGUUCCUACAUGCGAAGUUGGUACGACUUCCGCCACGUGUUAAUUAUCUGAGAGUAUUCGGUGUGUUCAUAUGGCUGUACAUGGUGGUGAAAUACAGAAUAUAAAAACUGAAUCUGUGUGAAUCAUGAAUAUCGAAGUCCAAAACCUAUUUAAUAACAGGGGUGGUACGGUAACCGAAAUGGAAAUUAUUCUACAUGCAACGGCUGUACUAAUUUUGUGUGAGUAAUUUAGAAAUAUAUGAGGUCUUGCAAAUCAAAUAAUUUGAUGUAGGAAAUUCUUAAUUUUCAUAAAAUAAUUCUGAACUGCUAUAACUGCGUGGAAACGAAGAAG
This is a long non-coding RNA of Bombus huntii, 3608 nucleotides long. RefSeq lists it as uncharacterized. The transcript has 2 exons. NCBI's taxonomy places the organism in Eukaryota, Metazoa, Arthropoda, Insecta, Hymenoptera, Apidae. The record is from RefSeq and is a predicted model, not a curated record.